RNAcentral lists this ribosomal RNA (452 nucleotides) under uncultured marine bacterium. RNAcentral's name for it is "bacterial SSU rRNA". It matches the Rfam family "Bacterial small subunit ribosomal RNA", at positions 360 to 804 of the family's 1533-position model. The record is from RNAcentral.
AAUUUUCCACAAUGGACGAAAGUCUGAUGGAGCAAUGCCGCGUGAGGGAUGAAGGUUUUCGGAUCGUAAACCUCUGUUGAUAGGAAAGAACAAGUAUAAUAGGAAAUGAUUAUAUUUUUGACGGUACCUGUCCAGAAAGUCACGGCAAACUAUGUGCCAGCAGCCGCGGUAAUACAUAGGCGGCAAGCGUUAUCCGGAUUUAUUGGGCGUAAAGAGUGCACAGGCGGUUUAUUAAGUCAGCUGUUAAAUACUGGGGCUCAACCCCAGUCUGCAAUUGAAACUGAUAAGCUAGAAUACAGGUGGGGGUAAUGGAAUUCCAUGUGUAGCGGUGGAAUGCAUAAAUAUAUGGAGGAACACCAGUGGCGAAGGCGGUUGCCUGAACUGUAAUUGACGCUUAAGCACUAAAGCGUGGGGAGCAAAUAGGAUUAGAUACCCUAGUAGUCCACGCCGUA